This is a long non-coding RNA of Populus euphratica (Euphrates poplar), 1782 nucleotides long. RefSeq lists it as uncharacterized. The record is from RefSeq and is a predicted model, not a curated record. The transcript has 2 exons. Lineage: Eukaryota; Viridiplantae; Streptophyta; Magnoliopsida; Malpighiales; Salicaceae.
ACAUGUAAUAUAUAAUUAUGUGUUAAUUAUCAGCUAUGAAGCAAGAAUAAUAUGAUACUGAAUUCUGAGUAGUCUUGGUCAGCGACAAGUUAAAAUCCUGGACUUGUAAUCUUCCAAGAAACUUUCGAAGGAGGAGAAAUAGUCCAGGAAAUUGGACUCAAGAUAAAACAACUGCUUGAAGAAUCACUCAGAAACUAGAUAAACUAAAAGGAAAUGAGGGCAGAGAACAUUGCAUAGAGAUUCCUGGAACUUGAAGAGGAAGGGGUUCUGAUUUUUAUUUCUAGUUGCAGGAUUGAAAAAAAAUAGACAGUUGAUUUUAUAACAAGAUGCAUCCUCCGUUACAUGACCAGUCAAUAUACUCAGCCGAUGUCCAUCAAGGUCCAAUUCUUGUUUCAGGAGUUCCAAAACCCAAUCCGAUACACCCUUAUGCUCCACAUAUGGCCAUGAGGCACGUUCGUGUUGUAGCAGGGAAGUGGUCCACUGGUCUUUGCCUUUGCUCUGAUAAUCCUGAAAAUUGGUGGAAUGGCAGCAUGUUUCAUGAGUGGAGCAGUAUAUGCGUUGCUGAUGGGUUUUGCAUGCUUCUACUCCUGUUGCUAUUGCUCAAGAUUAAGGGGCCAAUAUGAUUUGGAGGAGGACCCUUGUGUGGAUUGGCUAGUGCACUGCUGCAGAUAUUUAUAAGCUUUCUGUUUCCAUUAGCCUUCAAAAAAAUACAAGUAAAUAAACUUGUCAGAAUGACCCUUGCCGUUAGCCCUUCCUCAGCUACCAGUUGUUCACCGACAGAGUGUUGUGUAGGAAAAUGUUGAACACCUGAAAAUGUUGGACGACAAACUUGGUCUACAUUUACUGGUCUUUAUAUUCGUAAACUUCACUAGCAAAGUUUAUCCAGAGAAUUAUACAAGUUAACAUUUAGAUACCAUGAAAGACAUGCAUGAACAUGUUGGUAUUUUAUGACUCACGGACUUUCUGAUUUUCUUUCAUUAAAUCUGAUCUCCAAUUUCUUGGUUGGAUAACAAUUAGGGGAUCAAAAUGAAGGCAGGGAAGCCAAUAUGCUUAGACAACAGCAUGGAAUUACAAUGGCUCCAACCGUGACCCUAGACAUGACAAGAUGACAGCAAGCCGGCAGUUCUGGCUUUUCUCGCCGCAGCAACAAAUCCUAUCAAUGCUGCUGCUGCUGCUAAUCUCUGUCUGCAGCUAGUAGCCAACCAUACAUUUCGACUCAGAUACGAACUUGUCAAUUGAUUAAGAACCUCCAGGAACAAAGCCUGCGAACUACUUCGGUGCAAUUUAUUCUCAUAAAAUGCAGUAGCAUUCCAACAUGCAAAUAUGAGCUCCAUGGAAUAGGAUGAUUCGGUUCAAAUGAAGCUGUAAAAACAAAAACAGAGAUUCACGGAGAAAUUUGUAUUAUUCGUCAUGCUACUGGUGAUAAGCUUCUUCACUACGAACGCUUUACAUGCCUGGCCCAAUUUACCCAAUUAAAUCUAGAGCAACUAAAAGCUUUUUCUUUUUUCCUUGAAAACCUUUUCUGGUGUUCCAAUUGCUAUUAGAAUGUAUAAAAAUUGAACAUCUUCGGGUUCUUUCACAGAAAAAAUUGAUCUUGCUAAUAGUGUCAUUUUGGCAUCUGCAACUGAAAGCAAUAUAAUUUGCAGCAGAAAAUACCCAAAAUCUCAUAAGCAUACAAAGUAUAUGGAAAUAGUAAGAGAGAAUAUAUUUGCUGCUUGAAUCUGCCGCAUUUGAUUUCCACUAAAGAUCAGAAUGCAGUAACCCUCUCCUUCCCCAACAACA